GAUGAACGCUGGCGGCGUGCCUAAUACAUGCAAGUCGAGCGAACGGACGAGAAGCUUGCUUCUCUGAUGUUAGCGGCGGACGGGUGAGUAACACGUGGAUAACCUACCUAUAAGACUGGGAUAACUUCGGGAAACCGUAGCUAAUACCGGAUAAUAUUUUGAACCGCAUGGUUCAAAAGUGAAAGACGGUCUUGCUGUCACUUAUAUAUGGAUCCGCGCUGCAUUAGCUAGUUGGUAAGGUAACGGCUUACCAAGGCAACGAUGCAUAGCCGACCUGAGAGGGUGAUCGGCCACACUGGGACUGAGACACGGUCCAGACUCCUACGGGAGGCAGCAGCAGGGAAUCUUCCGCAAUGGGCGAAAGCCUGACGGAGCAACGCCGCGUGAGUGAUGAAGGUCUUCGGAUCGUAAAACGCUGUUAUUAGGGAAGAACAUAUGUGUAAGUAACUGUGCACAUCUUGACGGUACCUAAUCAGAAAGCCACGGCUAACUACGUG
Molecule: ribosomal RNA, 497 nt
Filed under: uncultured bacterium
Lineage: Bacteria
Description: partial 16S ribosomal RNA
Rfam family: Bacterial small subunit ribosomal RNA
Source: RNAcentral